This 273-nucleotide ribosomal RNA is filed under the name uncultured bacterium. RNAcentral describes it as "partial 16S ribosomal RNA". It matches the Rfam family "Bacterial small subunit ribosomal RNA", at positions 337 to 601 of the family's 1533-position model. The record is from RNAcentral.
GCCUACGGGACGCAGCAGUAGGGAAUCUUCGGCAAUGGACGGAAGUCUGACCGAGCAACGCCGCGUGAGUGAAGAAGGUUUUCGGAUCGUAAAGCUCUGUUGUAAGAGAAGAACGAGUGUGAGAGUGGAAAGUUCACACUGUGACGGUAUCUUACCAGAAAGGGACGGCUAACUACGUGCCAGCAGCCGCGGUAAUACGUAGGUCCCGAGCGUUGUCCGGAUUUAUUGGGCGUAAAGCGAGCGCAGGCGGUUAGAUAAGACUGAAGUUAAAGG